UUUUUUCUAUGUUCUAUAACUAUUUCUAAAAGAUAAUUUUGUUUAUUCAGUCUAAAAUAUGUGCUCUGUUUUCUCUUUUUACAUGGAAAGAUAAAACCCCUCAGGUAACAGCUACACUUCUUUUCUUCUUUCCGACAUAUGUGCUAAUGAUAUGCAUGUGUACUGUACAUAUAAUAUACAUAUGUAACAAUAGCAUUAUAUGCUUUAAAAAUAUGACACUCAUGUAUAUUUCUUCUGCAGUGCGAUAAGAGCAAACAAUGCCAGGGUGAAGGCAAGGGUGAAGGCAAGGGUGAAGGCAAAGGUGAAGGCAAGGGAAAAGGACCAGGACAAGGGCAAGGCAAGGGCAAGGGUGAAGGCAAGGGUGAAGGCAAGGGAAAAGGACCAGGACAAGGGCAAGGUCAAGGCAAGGGUCAGGGUCAUGGUCACGGACACGGUCACGGACCUGGAAAGGAUGGAAAGGAUGGCAAAGGCAAACCAUAAUGACAAGGAGCUGAAUGAAGAGACGUCUGAAGUCUGUCUGAUGCUGUUUUUUUCUUGCACCAUGACUAUAAACUAAAACAUGUAUAAUUAUACCACAUAUGUUUGUUUUUAAUUAAAUGAUCAUCAAUAAAGUGUUUGGUAUCAAAGAAUGGCUUUUAGAAUCGUUGACUCCUUAAGCUUUGAAAUUCCAAAUAUAAAACGAAAUGAAGUAGCUGUGGCAAGGUGUGCAAGUUUACACAGCAAGAAGGUGUAUAUGCUGAAACAAUGUUAAAUCAGGAAAUAAGACCUACUUGGUUUAUGAAUGUUAUCUUUUGUAAAGAAUACUGGUUAAGCAAUACAUGCAAGGUGUAGAUUCAACCAUUAAA
Long non-coding RNA from Ictalurus punctatus (channel catfish), 845 nucleotides. NCBI's taxonomy places the organism in Eukaryota, Metazoa, Chordata, Actinopteri, Siluriformes, Ictaluridae. The record is from Ensembl.